CAAUAGCGUAUAUUAAAGUUGUUGCGGUUAAAAAGCUCGUAGUUGGAUUUCUGCCGAGGACGACCGGUCCGCCCUCUGGGUGUGUAUCUGGUUUGGCCUGGGCAUCUUCUUGGAGAACGUAGCUGCACUUGACUGUGUGGUGCGGUGUCCAGGACUUUUACUUUGAGGAAAUUAGAGUGUUUCAAGCAGGCACACGCCUUGAAUACAUUAGCAUGGAAUAAUAAGAUAGGACCUCGGUUCUAUUUUGUUGGUUUCUAGAGCUGAGGUAAUGAUUAAUAGGGAUAGUUGGGGGCAUUCGUAUUUAACUGUCAGAGGUGAAAUUCUUGGAUUUGUUUAAGACGGACUACUGCGAAAGCAUUUGCCAAGGAUGUUUUCAUUGA
RNAcentral lists this ribosomal RNA (380 nucleotides) under uncultured eukaryote. Its description in RNAcentral is "partial 18S ribosomal RNA". It matches the Rfam family "Eukaryotic small subunit ribosomal RNA", at positions 592 to 976 of the family's 1831-position model. The record is from RNAcentral.